AGAGCUCAAAUUUGAAAUCUGGCGGUUGUUGAAGCCGUCCGAGUUGUAGUUUAGAGAAGUGUUAUCCGCGUUGGCCUGUGCAUAAGUUUCUUGGAAAAGAACAUCAUAGAGGGUGACAAUCCCGUCUUUGGCACAGAUUACCAGGGCUUUUGUGAUGCGCUCUCGACGAGUCGAGUUGUUUGGGAAUGCAGCUCUAAAUGGGUGGUAAAUUCCAUCUAAAGCUAAAUAUUGGCGAGAGACCGAUAGCGAA
RNAcentral lists this ribosomal RNA (250 nucleotides) under Clavulinopsis helvola. Its description in RNAcentral is "partial 28S ribosomal RNA". It matches the Rfam family "Eukaryotic large subunit ribosomal RNA", at positions 104 to 344 of the family's 3401-position model. Lineage: Eukaryota; Fungi; Basidiomycota; Agaricomycetes; Agaricales; Clavariaceae. The record is from RNAcentral.